RNAcentral lists this ribosomal RNA (285 nucleotides) under uncultured diatom. RNAcentral's name for it is "partial 18S ribosomal RNA". It matches the Rfam family "Eukaryotic small subunit ribosomal RNA", at positions 598 to 888 of the family's 1831-position model. Lineage: Eukaryota; Bacillariophyta. The record is from RNAcentral.
CGUAUAUUAAAGUUGUUGCAGUUAAAAAGCUCGUAGUUGGAUUUGUGGUGUAUUGUGGGUUCCGGGCACUUGUUGUCUGAGUAACUUGCGGUUNNCAUCCUUGGGUGGAACCUGUGUGGCAUUAGGUUGUCGUGCAGGGGACCCCAUCGUUUACUGUGAAAAAAUUAGAGUGUUCAAAGCAGGCUUAUGCCGUUGAAUAUAUUAGCAUGGAAUAAUAAGAUAGGUCUUUGGUCCUAUUUUGUUGGUUUGCGGACCAGAGAAAUGAUUAACAGGGACAGUUGGGGG